AACGAACGCUGGCGGCAGGCCUAACACAUGCAAGUCGAACGCGACCUUCGGGUUGAGCGGCGCACGGGUGCGUAACGCGUGGGAACGUGCCCUUUUCUUCGGAAUAGCCCCCGGAAAGGGGGGGUAAUACCGGAUAAUGCCUUCGGAGGAAAGAUUUAUCGGCUAUGGAUCGGCCCGCGUUGGAUUAGCUAGUUGGUAGGGUAAAAGCCUACCAAGGCGACGAUCCAUAGCUGGUUUGAGAGGAUGAUCAGCCACACUGGGACUGAGACACGGCCCAGACUCCUACGGGAGGCAGCAGUGGGGAAUAUUAGACAAUGGGCGCAAGCCUGAUCCAGCAAUGCCGCGUGAGUGAUGAAGGCCUUAGGGUUGUAAAGCUCUUUUAGCCGGGAUGAUAAUGACGGUACCGGGAGAAUAAGCCCCGGCUAACUCCGUG
Molecule: ribosomal RNA, 433 nt
Filed under: uncultured bacterium
Lineage: Bacteria
Description: partial 16S ribosomal RNA
Rfam family: Bacterial small subunit ribosomal RNA
Source: RNAcentral